Long non-coding RNA from Episyrphus balteatus (marmalade hoverfly), 143 nucleotides. RefSeq lists it as uncharacterized. The transcript has 2 exons. NCBI's taxonomy places the organism in Eukaryota, Metazoa, Arthropoda, Insecta, Diptera, Syrphidae. The record is from RefSeq and is a predicted model, not a curated record.
GUCAAAAAUACCGCUGGAGUUUUCUAUUUUGUCAACAAAAUUACAAUUUUUCUUAGCUUCAAAAUCAAUCUUUGAUUAUUAUUUUUCUAUUCAAUCCACUGUGUCAUAAAAACAAUUUUAACCCCCAAGGCCUAAACAAAAAC